Molecule: long non-coding RNA, 1247 nt
Filed under: Ficedula albicollis (Collared flycatcher)
Lineage: Eukaryota; Metazoa; Chordata; Aves; Passeriformes; Muscicapidae
Description: lncRNA (ENSFALG00000025325.1)
Source: RNAcentral
UCCCGGUCUGUCCUGAGGGGUUUAUCCUGGUCCAAACCGAGAGGUUUCUCCCGGUCCGUCCCAGUCAGUUUAUCCCCGUCCGUCCCGGUUGAUCCCAAUCCAUCUCAAGGAUUUUAUCCCGGUUCCUCCUGGUUUAUCUCAGUCCAUCCCAAGGAUUUCUCCUUGUGCAUCCCGGUUUCUCCCAGUCUAUCCCAGUCUGUUUAUCCCGGUCCAUCCCGAGGGAUUUCUCCCGGUUUAUCCCAGUUUCACCUGAGGGGUUUAUCCCAGUCCAUCCUGGUUUCUCCCGGUCCAUCCUGAAUUCUCCCAUUCCAUCCCGAGGGAUUUAAAAUCCCGGCCCAUCCCGGUCUACUUCUCCUGAUUUAUCCCAGUCUCUCCCGGUCCAUCCCGGUCUAUUUAUCCCAGUUUAUCCCGGUGUCUUUCUCCCAGUCCAUCCCGGUCUGUUUAUCCUGGUUUCUCCCCUCCCGGUCUGUUUAUCCCGCUCCCUCCCGGUUUCUCCAGGUUUUUCCCGUUCCAUCCCGUUCCCUCCCGCUCUCUCCCGGUCUCUUUCUCCCAUUCCAUCCCGUUCCAUCCCACUCUGUCCCGCUCCCUCCCAGUUUAUCCCGGUCUCUCCCGGUUUAUCCCGGUCUCUCCCGGUUUAUCCCUGUCUCUCCCGGUCUCUCCCGUUCCGUCCCGCUCUCUGUCGGUCUCUUUCUCCCGUUCCAUCCCGUUCCAUCCCGUUCCGUCCCGUUCCAUCCCGUUCCAUCCCGUUCCGUCCCGUUCCAUCCCGUUCCAUCCCGUUCCGUCCCGCUCUCUGUCGGUCUUUUUCUCCCGUUCCAUCCCGUUCCGUCCCGUUCCGUCCCGUUCCAUCCCGUUCCAUCCCGUUCCGUCCCGCUCUCUCCCGGUCUCUUUCUCCCGUCCCGUCCCGUCCCGUUCCGUCCCGUUCCCAGUUGGUCCCGCUCCCUCCCAGUUGGUCCCGCUCCGCUCCGGCCCGGGAUGCCGCGCCCCGCGCCGCUCUGCCCCGCGCUGCUGCUGGCCGCGCUGUGCCCCGCGCUCGCCCUGCACUCGUGCCGCACGCUGGACCUGGAGGCGGCGCGGCUGAAGCGCAUCGAGGCCGUGCGGGGGCAGAUCCUGAGCAAGCUGCGGCUGGGGGCGGCCCCCCCCCCCCCCCCCCCCCCCCCCCCCCCCCCCCCCCCCCCCCCCCCCCCCCCCCCCCCCCCCCCCCCCCCCCCCCCCCCCCCCCCCCCCCCCCCCCCCCCCCCCCCCCCCCC